Molecule: RNA transcript, 2719 nt
Organism: Pieris napi
Lineage: Eukaryota; Metazoa; Arthropoda; Insecta; Lepidoptera; Pieridae
Gene: Dek
Gene name: protein DEK
Exons: 17
Source: RefSeq, a predicted model, not a curated record
UUUUUUUAUGUUGUGAGUGCGUGCAUUUGUGUUGUCCGGUGUUUGAAGACGCUUGGAAUUUCGCUUUCAAUAUCUUCGUAAGAAAAAUGUCGGGUGAUACCGAUAAAGCAAAAAUCAGUGAUAAUCAGGAUGAGGACAAAAAGUCAGGUGCGGGGGACGGCCAGACUACAGAAGAUGAAUCAUCCCAGGAUUCCAAGGGUGAGUCGGCUGUACCUGAGGUGCAAGGUAACGCAGUAGAUGAACCAGACAACAGUCAGCCCCCCGAAGGUGACGCAAAAUCGACCACGGCAAACGGUAAAGAUGACUUAGGCGGUGAAGACGUCAAAGAUGAAAAGGCAAAAGCAGAUGUUGACAAAAAGGAAGAAAAUGGUGAGACACAUGAAGAGGAUGAUAAGGAAGAUGUGAAGGAAAACGAUAAGCCAGCUAAAAAACCGGCAGCCAAGAAAAAACCUAAAAAGGAGGAUACAGAGGAAGAAGAUGAGGAGGACGAGGAAAUGGACGAAGAAGAGGAAGAAGAAGGAGAGGAGGGAGAUGAAGAGGAUGAGAAGAAGCCUAAGGCCAAUAAAGUAAAGAAACCGGCAAAGAAAGCAAAGGAAGGCGACGAAGAAGGUGAAGAAGACGAGGAGGAAGGAGAAGAUGAAGAAGGUGAGGAGGAGGAGGAAGAAGAGGAAGAGGAGGCCCCCAAACCUAAACCCAAGAAAGAGCCCACUGAGCCUCCGGUCCCUCUUCCGGCGGGCAAAGGUAUCCCUCUGGGUCACAUCAGCAACGUGGAAGUUUCCCUCUCCAGGUUUAAGACACAGGACCAGAAGCUUUUACAUCAGUACUUGUAUGGACAACUGUGUCUGGACCGUAACGUGAAGCGGAACAUCAAGAAGUUCAGAGGCUACGAGUGGGCCGUGGGCUCAUCCGACUACAAGGCCAAGCUGGAGGAGACCACCAAGAUGGAGCCCAAGCAGAUCAGGACCAUGUGCGAGAUGCUGGAUCUCGAUAAGAAAGGUGGAACAACAGAGCUGGCAGCCCGCCUGGUGGGCUUCCUGCAGUGCCCCACGGCCAAUUCGCCUCACGCGAGAGGAGUAGCCCGGCCUCCGCCUACGGCUUCUUCGACGCCUGGAGGCAGACCCAGGAGAUCUGUCGCCGUCAAAGUUCACAAUCGAGGCUAUUCAGAUGAAGAGUAUGAAUCGGACCCAGAGAAAGUCAAAGGACCAAAACCACCGAAGGAGGGCUCGGAAGAUUCUGAUGGGUCAUUCAACCCGAGCGGCUCAGAAGCGGACUCGGACUUUGACCCCGAGGUAGGAGAGGGAGUCGCGGUUGUCGGAAAGAAACGCAAGAGCAGCGGACGCCGUCGCUCCUCGGGCAAGGCGGGCAAGAAGGGCAAGAAGAGGGGGAGGAAGGCCAGCGGGAAGGUAAGCAGAGGUCGCGGCCGCAGGGCGAAGUCGGACAGUGAAGAAGAGAGUGACAAGUCAGAGAGUGAGAGCGAUGCAGGAGGAGAAUCUGGCAGCGAGGGAGAAGAGUCUGACGAGCCGAAGUCGAAGCGCGGUCGGCCGAGCGGGUCCGUGGCCAGAGGCCGCAAGGGCCCCCCGGCCAAGAUGGCCAAGACCACGCCCGCCAAGCGGAAAACGGCCUCACCGCCAGCUAAGAAGAAGGGAAAGCCAGGCAGGCCAGCCGGUGGUAAGAAGGGAAAGAAAGCAUCCUCUGACGAAGAAUCUGGAGAAGGAAGCGAAGAGGAGGAGGAGGAAGGUAGCGAGGAAGAAGAGAGCGGAGAGGAGAGUGACGGCGGCCCGGCUGAUAAGAAGGCUAAGAGACCGCCUACUGACGACGAGAUAAAGAAGUACGUGAAGCAGAUCCUGGAAGGCGCCAACCUGGAGCAGAUCACGAUGAAGACGGUGUGCAAACAGGUCUACUCGCACUACCCGGACUUCGAUCUCGCGCACAAGAAGGACUUCAUCAAGGCCACCGUCAAGUCGUGUAUUUAAGAUGUAAAGAAUGAGCGGAGUAGUCUACGUAGCGUUAUCUAUUACUAUAGUUUUAAAGGACAUAUUAUUACAAUAAUAAUAAUAUAUUAUCAGAAUAUAUUUUUUUUAAUAUCCGCAAACGUGUGGAACGGAUAUCCGCCCGCUUUACAUUCAGCUCAUAGCAUCGUGAGCGACUCGGCCGCAUAGCAUAGUCGUAAGCCACAACUUAGACUAAUUGUACACACGAUCAUUACAUUUCCACAAUUGACAUAUUUUUCAUAUUUUAACAUUUUAAUUACGAUUAACAAUAUUGUUUGAUUAUUUUGUGAAUUGUACGAUUGCAAUGCACGACAGCUUUGUACUAAAUGCAAAAAUUACCUUGAGGUAUAAAGGGGCCGUUCGAGUAUUACGUAAGCACUAGAGGGGGAGGGGAGGUCUUUGAUUUUCUUAUUUGGUGAUUACGUCAACAGUAAUUAUUUACUUUUUUGAAUGUUAUACUUCUUUUGGCGCGUUAGGGAAAUAUGAUGAGAGUUAAUUUUUACACACAAUUUUGUCACAAAAAACCGACACCCAGAAUAUCUGUUCAAACGUCGGUAAAACAGUCUGGGCCGCUAGUUUGAGCUUGAUCUGUUUUAUCGACAAGACGCUCGAAGAAAAUUAUUACGCCAAAGUAGUAUUAACUUCUAACACGUGUACAUAAGUACACGUAUUUUUUUACACCACACAUGCUUGAAAACUAAAUGCAUUUUCAAGGAUUCCUACAAAAA